Molecule: long non-coding RNA, 308 nt
Filed under: Ananas comosus (pineapple)
Lineage: Eukaryota; Viridiplantae; Streptophyta; Magnoliopsida; Poales; Bromeliaceae
Description: long non-coding RNA (ACOM_LNC016390)
Source: RNAcentral
CUCGAUCCCCGGGCACGACGACAAAUCCGCCGUAUAUAAAGGAAUUUCUCCUGUAUACGAAGCGAUAGUUGUACUUGUAUAACAUACAAUACUACAAACAGUAGUAUAGAGCUGCUAGAAGAACCAAUAACUAAAAACAAACUGAGUUCCAUAUACAUACAUCAAAUCCAAGCUAUAAAACUACUCGCACUGGCGAGUUAAAUAUCUGUAUGUACAUGAACUCCAACCAAAAACAACUACCUGCUGUAGGGCACCUCUAGCUCGGCUCGUCGGGUAGGGCUCUAACUCGCGACGCCCUUGCCUAGAUC